RNAcentral lists this ribosomal RNA (440 nucleotides) under uncultured bacterium. RNAcentral's name for it is "partial 16S ribosomal RNA". It matches the Rfam family "Bacterial small subunit ribosomal RNA", at positions 338 to 795 of the family's 1533-position model. The record is from RNAcentral.
CCUACGGGAGGCAGCAGUAGGGAAUAUUGCUCAAUGGGGGAAACCCUGAAGCAGCAACGCCGCGUGGAGGAUGAAGGUUUUCGGAUUUUAAACUCUUUUUUUUAGAGAAGUUAAUGACGGUAUCUAAGGAUUAAGCACCGGCUAACUCCGUUCCAGCAGCCGCGGUAAUACGGAGGGUGCAAGCGUUAUUCGGAAUCACUGGGCGUUAAGAGCGCGUAGGCGGGAUAGCAAGUCAGAUGUGAAAUCCUAUGGCUUAACCAUAGAACUGCAAUUGAAACUGUUAUUCUAGAGUAUGGGAGAGGUAGGUGGAAUUCGUGGGGUAGGGGUAAAAUGCGUAGAGAUCAAGAGGAAUACUCAUUGCGAAGGCGGCCUGCUAGAACAUAACUGACGCUGAUGCGCGAAAGCGUGGGGAGCAAACAGGAUUAGAUACCCGGGUAGUC